Molecule: ribosomal RNA, 253 nt
Filed under: uncultured bacterium
Lineage: Bacteria
Description: partial 16S ribosomal RNA
Rfam family: Bacterial small subunit ribosomal RNA
Source: RNAcentral
UACAGAGGUCUCAAGCGUUGUUCGGAUUCAUUGGGCGUAAAGGGUGCGUAGGUGGCGGGGUAAGUCAGGUGUGAAAUUUCGGAGCUUAACUCCGAAACUGCAUUUGAUACUGCCUUGCUUGAGGACUGGAGAGGAGACUGGAAUUCACGGUGUAGCAGUGAAAUGCGUAGAGAUCGUGAGGAAGACCAGUGGCGAAGGCGGAUCUCUGGACCAGUUCUGACACUGAUGAGCGAAAGCCAGGGGAGCAAACGGG